ACGCUGGCGGCGUGCCUAAUACAUGCAAGUAGAACGCUGAAGAGAGGAGCUUGCUCUUCUUGGAUGAGUUGCGAACGGGUGAGUAACGCGUAGGUAACCUGCCUUGUAGCGGGGGAUAACUAUUGGAAACGAUAGCUAAUACCGCAUAACAAUGGAUGACACAUGUCAUUUAUUUGAAAGGGGCAAUUGCUCCACUACAAGAUGGACCUGCGUUGUAUUAGCUAGUAGGUGAGGUAACGGCUCACCUAGGCGACGAUACAUAGCCGACCUGAGAGGGUGAUCGGCCACACUGGGACUGAGACACGGCCCAGACUCCUACGGGAGGCAGCAGUAGGGAAUCUUCGGCAAUGGGGGCAACCCUGACCGAGCAACGCCGCGUGAGUGAAGAAGGUUUUCGGAUCGUAAAGCUCUGUUGUAAGUCAAGAACGAGUGUGAGAGUGGAAAGUUCACACUGUGACGGUAGCUUACCAGAAAGGGACGGCUAACUACGUGCCAGCAGCCGCGGUAAUACGUAGGUCCCGAGCGUUGUCCGGAUUUAUUGGGCGUAAAGCGAGCGCAGGCGGUUUGAUAAGUCUGAAGUUAAAGGCUGUGGCUCAACCAUAGUUCGCUUUGAAAACUGUCAAACUUGAGUGCAGAAGGGGAGAGUGGAAUUCCAUGUGUAGCGGUGAAAUGCGUAGAUAUAUGGAGGAACACCGGUGGCGAAAGCGGCUCUCUGGUCUGUAACUGACGCUGAGGCUCGAAAGCGUGGGGAGCGAACAGGAUUAGAUACCCUGGUAGUCCACGCCGUAAACGAUGAGUGCUAGGUGUUGGAUCCUUUCCGGGAUUCAGUGCCGCAGCUAACGCAUUAAGCACUCCGCCUGGGGAGUACGACCGCAAGGUUGAAACUCAAAGGAAUUGACGGGGGCCCGCACAAGCGGUGGAGCAU
Molecule: ribosomal RNA, 925 nt
Filed under: uncultured bacterium
Lineage: Bacteria
Description: bacterial SSU rRNA
Rfam family: Bacterial small subunit ribosomal RNA
Source: RNAcentral